Molecule: ribosomal RNA, 1550 nt
Filed under: Klebsiella pneumoniae
Lineage: Bacteria; Pseudomonadati; Pseudomonadota; Gammaproteobacteria; Enterobacterales; Enterobacteriaceae
Description: bacterial SSU rRNA
Rfam family: Bacterial small subunit ribosomal RNA
Source: RNAcentral
AAAUUGAAGAGUUUGAUCAUGGCUCAGAUUGAACGCUGGCGGCAGGCCUAACACAUGCAAGUCGAGCGGUAGCACAGAGAGCUUGCUCUCGGGUGACGAGCGGCGGACGGGUGAGUAAUGUCUGGGAAACUGCCUGAUGGAGGGGGAUAACUACUGGAAACGGUAGCUAAUACCGCAUAACGUCGCAAGACCAAAGUGGGGGACCUUCGGGCCUCAUGCCAUCAGAUGUGCCCAGAUGGGAUUAGCUAGUAGGUGGGGUAACGGCUCACCUAGGCGACGAUCCCUAGCUGGUCUGAGAGGAUGACCAGCCACACUGGAACUGAGACACGGUCCAGACUCCUACGGGAGGCAGCAGUGGGGAAUAUUGCACAAUGGGCGCAAGCCUGAUGCAGCCAUGCCGCGUGUGUGAAGAAGGCCUUCGGGUUGUAAAGCACUUUCAGCGGGGAGGAAGGCGGUGAGGUUAAUAACCUCAUCGAUUGACGUUACCCGCAGAAGAAGCACCGGCUAACUCCGUGCCAGCAGCCGCGGUAAUACGGAGGGUGCAAGCGUUAAUCGGAAUUACUGGGCGUAAAGCGCACGCAGGCGGUCUGUCAAGUCGGAUGUGAAAUCCCCGGGCUCAACCUGGGAACUGCAUUCGAAACUGGCAGGCUAGAGUCUUGUAGAGGGGGGUAGAAUUCCAGGUGUAGCGGUGAAAUGCGUAGAGAUCUGGAGGAAUACCGGUGGCGAAGGCGGCCCCCUGGACAAAGACUGACGCUCAGGUGCGAAAGCGUGGGGAGCAAACAGGAUUAGAUACCCUGGUAGUCCACGCCGUAAACGAUGUCGAUUUGGAGGUUGUGCCCUUGAGGCGUGGCUUCCGGAGCUAACGCGUUAAAUCGACCGCCUGGGGAGUACGGCCGCAAGGUUAAAACUCAAAUGAAUUGACGGGGGCCCGCACAAGCGGUGGAGCAUGUGGUUUAAUUCGAUGCAACGCGAAGAACCUUACCUGGUCUUGACAUCCACAGAACUUUCCAGAGAUGGAUUGGUGCCUUCGGGAACUGUGAGACAGGUGCUGCAUGGCUGUCGUCAGCUCGUGUUGUGAAAUGUUGGGUUAAGUCCCGCAACGAGCGCAACCCUUAUCCUUUGUUGCCAGCGGUUAGGCCGGGAACUCAAAGGAGACUGCCAGUGAUAAACUGGAGGAAGGUGGGGAUGACGUCAAGUCAUCAUGGCCCUUACGACCAGGGCUACACACGUGCUACAAUGGCAUAUACAAAGAGAAGCGACCUCGCGAGAGCAAGCGGACCUCAUAAAGUAUGUCGUAGUCCGGAUUGGAGUCUGCAACUCGACUCCAUGAAGUCGGAAUCGCUAGUAAUCGUAGAUCAGAAUGCUACGGUGAAUACGUUCCCGGGCCUUGUACACACCGCCCGUCACACCAUGGGAGUGGGUUGCAAAAGAAGUAGGUAGCUUAACCUUCGGGAGGGCGCUUACCACUUUGUGAUUCAUGACUGGGGUGAAGUCGUAACAAGGUAACCGUAGGGGAACCUGCUGUUGGAUCACCUCCUUACCUUAAAGAA